Molecule: long non-coding RNA, 538 nt
Filed under: Anas platyrhynchos platyrhynchos (common mallard)
Lineage: Eukaryota; Metazoa; Chordata; Aves; Anseriformes; Anatidae
Description: lncRNA (ENSAPLG00000026303.1)
Source: RNAcentral
AUGAGCAUUUUAUUUAUUUAUUUAUUUUUCUCUUUACAGCAGCAUAAAAAAGAAGUGUUGAGAGCUGCUCUUAACCCUUUUGGAGUCCGAAGUCAAAAGGAGAAAAGCAGGGGUACGAUAAGAAGACUCAAAACAUUAUUAGAUCUCUUUAAGAGCACCAGCAUAUCUGGGCCUAAAUUAUGCAGGGAACUAGGGGGCUUGAUACAUCCCUUGCAUCCUGCAUUUACUCUGACCACAGUCCCUCCCUGUUCUCACAAGUGGAGCUCUGCCCUGCUUCCCUUCCUGUUGAUUCCCAGUCAGCUACAUGGUAAGUUUUCAUUAUCUCUCUACUUGUUGCCACAAGGUAAAAUUCUGGCAGACUCUCUCUAAAAUCCAUUAGCACUGGGCAUUGAGGGCAAACUACUUCAUGCCCAUCAAAGAUCAUUCAGUCCUGUUCCAGGCUGACAGUAAGGAAAGGAAGAUAGUAUUGAAUUAGCAUUGGAGCUGAACUUCAGCAUAGAUUGUUAUAGGAAUAAAAUAUGAAGUAAAAUAUGUGACA